AAAGGGUGUAGUUCGUCAGCUUUCUCCUUCAUUCCGCCAAUUUCAGCCUGGCAACUUUCUUUUUCUAACUAUUUGAUUUACUUUUACUCGCGAGAGAUAUUUUCCACGGUGGCUUUUUUAGUUGCAUCGUUUUGGAAAAAAAACAACAACAGACAACGUUAGUGAAAAGCCCCGUACUUAUAGAUUAAGAUGAACUCGACAAGACGGGGGUUCCAUCGACGCCCCCUCUCUGGUUUGUUUGAAAACCGGCAUGAGGAUGGCACUUUGAGACGGGGAGCGAAAUCCGAAUUCAGGAUGAGUGUCAGGUUAAUAUUCUCCUGCCCUCUGCCGCAACCAUAAUUCAUCCUCCAAACGCGGCAGGAAAGGAGACAUGAAAGCCUUUUCCUUCCCGCUCCUCUGUCCUCAUCAGUCGAGGCUUCGCACGCAUCCUCUCGAUUACCAUCGCUCAUCUUUUCCCUUUUGUUUCUCCCCGCGCGUCCCCAUUCAAUCCAAUUUCAUUUCCCCCUCAGUUCCCUUUACAGCUGCUUUCAUUUCAACGCCAUCUCUCAAUCUUCCGUCUUUUCAGCAGCUCUCUGACAAGCUCCGUCUCACUUCCUCCACCUGUCUGCCAUCCUUCUCCCCUUUUGUUUCAACCUCCCGUGCUUUAUCUUCCCUCUGGCUGCUCCCAGCACAGACCUUUUCCUCUUUCAUUGGCAUAUUUUUGGAGUUUCUGCGCCUUCCUCCCGUCAUGUCAAAUGCCCUCUCUGUCCCUCCUCUUCGCUCCGUUCUCUCUGCGGACCAAUUAGCUCGUCCAGCUUGACGUCUUUUCCAGCCCCUGCUCGAUUGGGCCGAGCGGUCAGUCCAAGGGGUUCAAGGACACACAGGCACACGAGGUAAAUUCAACAACGCGGCCUCGGAAUCUAUUGGAGUUUCUAAAAGUGUGUUUGAAAGUCCACAUCUCCCUCUGAGCACUUCACUGACCCACCAAAGAACCUCGUGCGCGCUCUCCGGCAAGGGACCUCAUUUAUAAUAACGUGUUUGGACUCAUCUCCCUUCGAGCUCAUCCCCGGAUCCCUCUCACAAAAACUGCUUGCUCGUUUAAUUCAAACCAAUGUAAACAAGCUGUGAGCGCCCUUCAUCAGUGCACUGUGCAGGGGAAUAAUUGCCAAGUGAAAGGGUCUGAGUUUGAGAAAGCGGCCGUAACACAGCAGAAAUUGUCGUUGGUGGGAGAAAAAAAAUUCUCAGGGCGCAUUACACAACACAGCAGGGUACCGUCACAUUUGCGUGCAGCUCGUUUCUUUUGCAAUACUGACACUGACACUGAACAACAUCUGCGUGGCUGCCUUGCAUACAGUGCUUGGCUCCCAACACGAAAGAGACAUACAAGGCUUUAAAGGAACAACCUUGAGGGAAUAAAUCCCUGUGCACGCACACAACGGUAAUUCAGAAAGAAAUAAUGGGUCUUACUUGUAAUAAUAACAGAUAAACCACCAUAAGUAGAUAUGUUGAAGGUGGUAGUAGAAAUAUUGCUGUUUUUUUACACCUUUUUAUCACAAAAAGGCACCAAAAUAAAAUGACAUUUUUAUUAGUAACUUGUCACAUUGUAGAGAAAAAGCCGCACAAAGAAAAGCACCUGAUUGACAGUUCAAGCACUGAAGAUCCGUCUGUUCGUGAGCUCGCUUUCCACAGUCGACUACCUGCUGAACACGGAUGACAGACUAUCUAGCAUCUAAAAUGUCAAAUUCAGCUCACGUUAGCGAGGAGAAGGCCGAGUGGCAAUUAGCAUUACCAGAUAAAACGAGGUGAUACAGGAAUGCUAAAUAGAUCUUGAUUCAGGGUGAACAAACAAAGCUAAAGGUGUAUUGAAGAUGUCACAUUGUCAAACCCGAGACGGGUUCGUCAGAUUCUAACUGGCAUUCUAAAUUAAAAAGGUAAUUCAAUUUAAAUUUAUUGUGAAAGCCGAACUUGACAAUGGCGCCAUUAGCACUUCGGGUUGAGGUUGGUGAGAUAUACUUUAGCACAUUAGCUAAGAAACUAACUAAUUAAGAAAGCUGUGUGAUCGGGAUCCGGAGAGAACAUUUACCCUUGUUCCAAGUAUCUUGGGCAAUUAGUACAAAUUACUACACUAGUAAAUAUGGUGUUAUAAUUUAUUUGUCCUCAAACGCUUAUGUAAAACAAAACCAACUUCAUCCUGAAGAUCUUUGAAAAUACACCACUGAUGAAUGAAUGAUAACAAUAAAAUCAUUGCCUAGAGGGGCACUUGCAGGAACAAGUUCAGAUUAAAACAUAUUUGGUGGACAAUAUAGAUCUGUUUAUCAGCAGGACGGUAAAGUAACUGCGGAGAUAAAAGAAGAGGCCAACCAGUGCAGCGACGGAGGUCAAUGACGUCUUUCUGGACUACGAUGCUGAUUAGACAGAUCAGUACAGUCUUGGUAUUACUCUUUGAAUGGGAUUUGCUGACAAUAAGAAACAUUUGCAUUGCCAACCAAAUCUUUUGAAAAUCAUAACCUUGCAUUCAGCUCCAUCCACACUGGAGUUGGACCAAAAACAUAAACAAAGCCCAAAUAAUGCUCUACCCUAACACUUUCUGACUAACAAUGGCCAAAAAUUAUUCUACAAGCCCACUGGAAAUGAGACGCUGCCGGCCCAAAACAAUCAAAAAUCAGCAAUGCUAUUCAUCCUAAUUCCUAAUCCCGGCCCCUUGCACCUCCCCUAACGUCCAAGGCUCGCACCAACACAAGACCGGAAACAUACAGUACGGAAUGAUCGCAUUUUGUGCAGAUACAGAUUGUCUGCAACAAUAACAGCUGCUAGAGUCCUGGAAAAUAUCAUCCAGAGGCCGGCCAAUUUGUAAAUUGAAAAGUCAGACUGUGAAGGAAACACCAAAGCCAAUCUCUUCCAAACGCCCUGAGUAGUGAAUGAAUCUAUAUUUAGUUUUAGACUCUUAAUUCAAGGCCCUGGUGUGAUGUCACAUCAUCAAUUUUCUCUUUGUGCUUCUCGAAGCAGACAAAGUUCCCAGAGCUAUUGUUUGUUUAUUCACUUUUCUUUGGCUUAUUUUUUAUUUUUUUGCUCUGUCAUGAUUGGAAAAAAAAAAAAAGAUGCAUGAGGAGGGUGAAGGACACUUGGGGCAAAAAAAGAGAGCUGCAUCUUUGUGAACAAACACACACACACACACACACACACACACAAAGAGGCCAUCUGCCUAAUUACUAGUGACAGGGAGAGAGCUCAGGGAAACAGCUACAGCUAUGGUGCACUAGUGGGCAAAAUGCCCUAUUUAUGCAUUUUAUACACACAAGCACACAUCCGUGUAUGUUCAUACACAUUCGCACACAUUCUCACACAUAUACUGCGCAGGAAAAAAAAAAAGCAAACGAUACAGGCAUGUGGAUGCAAACAGAAAAUGACACGGUCGGUAGUGAUAUUAUUUACAGUGGCCGCACAUGUAUGGACACAUGUGCGGCAACAGAGACAAAACAUUUGCGCUCUCGCUCUCUCUCUCUCUCUCUCUCUCUCUCUCUCUCUCUCUCGGAGAGAUGCCGAGUCCCGGGGCGAAGGGCCUCCUGAAUCCCUUAUUUUGGAUGUAUGUUUUGACAAGAUAUUCUCAAGAAGAGGCCAGUUUUUCAAUAUUCACCACAGAAAUGCAUCCUCACUGGGCGGAGUGAAAUAGAUUUCACAUACAUUUAAAAUGGUUAAACCGUAUGUGCUUUGUGAUAACCAAAUUACCCUGAUUAUUUUGUAAUCAUUUUUUUUUAUUAAAUGAUAAGAAAUAUAAAAAACAAUCAGGUUGUUUUAUAUCAACAAUUUAUUCUUUGAAUUAUCAUAAAGCAUUUGAUGCCCAUAGAUAUUGUUAUUGAUAGAUGCGAUUGCAUUUAUUAUUAUGCGUUUUGGCCAUAUCACAACUAUGUAUUUUUCAUUGUUCAUUGCUGGUGUUCACGAGUUUCAUUAAUGCGGAAGUUCAUUCAUUAUUUUAAAGGGAAGACAAUAUAAUGUGAUGUAGCGAAGAGUUAAGAUGUGGGCCCGCUGUACUGAAAUAAACUACACAAGUUGUGAAUCAGAGACGGGAGGCAGCAGUAAAGGUGAGCAGGGAUAACCUGACUUGAGCACGUCUGAGAGUGAGGUCACCAAAAAGGUUCCACAGACAGCCUGCGCAGUGACGGCAUUGUCUGGUACCACCAAACACCCCCGGACCCAGCAUGCAAACUACAGCCUAACACAGUCAACUGGACACUUAAUCUGCACAAGUAUCAGUCUGUAUGCAAGCUCCUCGUUUCUUUGACUUUGCAUUCAUGUUUCCUGUCUUGCAGCUCCACCAACCCUCCUCGAACAAUCGCUACGUUUUGGGGGAAUUUUCUUCAGUUCUCUUUCUCUAACUGAGCGGAUGCUGAUUAGUGUUGCUCUCUGUUGUAAAAAGAGACGGAGGAGGAAGAAGAGCGAACGAGAGUACAAAUGUGAGGAGACGAUGCACUCCGUACAGUGACUCAAUAAAAGUGUGAUUUG
This is a non-coding RNA of Gasterosteus aculeatus aculeatus (three-spined stickleback), 4479 nucleotides long. NCBI's taxonomy places the organism in Eukaryota, Metazoa, Chordata, Actinopteri, Perciformes, Gasterosteidae. The record is from RefSeq and is a predicted model, not a curated record.